UCAGCAGCCGCGGUAAUACGGAGGGGGCUAGCGUUGUUCGGAAUUACUGGGCGUAAAGCGCACGUAGGCGGCUUUGUAAGUCAGAGGUGAAAGCCUGGAGCUCAACUCCAGAACUGCCUUUGAGACUGCAUCGCUUGAAUCCAGGAGAGGUCAGUGGAAUUCCGAGUGUAGAGGUGAAAUUCGUAGAUAUUCGGAAGAACACCAGUGGCGAAGGCGGCUGACUGGACUGGUAUUGACGCUGAGGAACGAAAGCGUGGGGAGCAAACAGGAUUAGAUACCCUGGUAGUCCACGCCGUAAACGAUGAUAACCUAGCUGUCCGGSACUUGGUGCU
RNAcentral lists this ribosomal RNA (332 nucleotides) under uncultured bacterium. RNAcentral's name for it is "bacterial SSU rRNA". It matches the Rfam family "Bacterial small subunit ribosomal RNA", at positions 508 to 840 of the family's 1533-position model. The record is from RNAcentral.